Oncorhynchus mykiss (rainbow trout) is the source of this 3758-nucleotide RNA transcript. RefSeq lists it as uncharacterized. The record is from RefSeq and is a predicted model, not a curated record. Lineage: Eukaryota; Metazoa; Chordata; Actinopteri; Salmoniformes; Salmonidae.
CUGUUGUAAACUAGCGUGCCAUGUAGCCUGCAUUCGGCUGUGUGUAUGUCUGUGAGAAUGAGUGCUGUGUGCGUGUCUAAAUGUGAGCAAGUUCAGUAAAAGUAACCUACAUAGUUUGCGCGCGCUACAAUUAUUUUUGCAAAGCAUAGGAGGAGAAAGUCGAAACGACUAUGAUGUAUUCAUUUGGGACCUGGGAAACCAGCUACCAGGACUGGCUACGUCGCUACCAAGCUAAAUAAACGCACAAGAAGUCGGUUUUAGUUCAAAUUCGUCCUAAUCCAGCCUGUCACAAAUAACGGAUUUGGUCGCUAUCAUGUCAAGAUUUUGACCUGCACAGAGUUUAUCUUCAACCUGAUAUUGGGGCUGAUUCUUCUCUUCAACAGAAGUUGAGCGUGCCACCUUUGUGUGUGUGGUGUGUGCGUUAAUGUGUAAAUGUGUGCGACUGAUGUGUAAACUGCUGUACAAUUCGCAAUGAAUGCACUGUAGUUGUAGCAUUGCUUCACACCAGUGUACAUUUAGCAACAAAAAUAGUUUGGGGAAACCAUAUUCGUAAAAUUUCAGGAUGUUGAAGACUCUAACCAAGAAGCUAAGGAGACACUCACUCAACGAGAUACAUCCCUUUCAGUUCAAGAUUUCCUACCAUUGCAGUGGGGAGGGAGCAGAGAGCGACGAUUCCGAGGGGGAGAACCAGGAGCUUGCACAGAUUGACAGAGAGAGGCGGCGGAACGGCGGCCUCACCCCUCUGGCCACCAGCCAACAGCACAACCAGGGUCCCCUCUCCCCGGCAUGCCUCUGUCGCCUACGCCUCCUUCUAGACCCAACUCUGGACCACCACUCUUCCGAAGAAGAGCUGGAGCGAAUCAGCCGCAGCGUUGGAGAUGGCAAGAAGUGGAUGCUGCACCAUCACCAUGUCGAGCACCACAGCAGUGCCUCCAGCGACGAGGAGGUGCGGGACCUGUUCGGCUGUGGUCCGGUGGUGGCAGCCUUGGAGCCUGGGACUUGCCUGGAGGCCUCCCCCAGCCCAGUGCUCUUUAGCUCCAGCCUGCCUCGCAGCCUCAAGCCCCCGCCCCCCAUUCGGCUCCAGUUCCAGGUGGUGCAGCCUGCUGCCAGGCCCAUUAUCUUGACCCACUUUGACCAGUCAGCGGUUCCCUAUACGAAGCACAGGCACAGCUACGGGGGAGAGGUUGGGAGGCCGAGUCUGGACCUGGAGAAAAUGCAACAGAAAAUGCUCCUUAAAAAGAACUGUGGUGGGAAAACACGGGCCAUAAAGAUUCAGGUUUGUCUCGAUAAUGCCAUGGAGAAAACAAGACCUUCCUUGGUGUCCUUUGUUAGUCCAUGGCCAUAUGCUUAAUUAGUAGGUUGAUUUUAUUUCAGGUUAUAAGGAACACAUUACAGGCUAUCUGGAAGAAAACUAUUCAUCCUGGCAGGUAUCAGACCAAAAGCAAAAAUGUACAUGAACAUUUCCCAUGUCUCAUAAUGAUCUGCUGUCUAAUAGCUGUUAUUGAUGACACUAGAUAAGUCAAAGAUGAAGUGUAUUCUUGCUGCCUAGGCAAAAAAAACUGUCUAGCUAUAACAACAGCCCACCCCAAUACAAUGUGUCAUGCUUUUACUGUUACACUUACCCACUGGACCAGCUUAAUGUUAGGUUAAUGACAGCAAACAACAACACUGAAAUAUGUGACCGUUUUUUAUUUAAAGGGUGGUGGGGGAGGAAGAGAAUACAUUCCCCAAUUUAACACAAAACAAUAACAACAAAGCCAAAAGACAUGAAUAAUACAAUUCAAAAGUUUUUUUUAAAUUUACAUCUGCUUUCCUUAUGUCUUCAAACAAAUUAUUAAAUCCCUCUGCUCAUACUAAGACAUAUUAGUCAGGCUUGAAGCCAUGACUUCCAAGAAAUGUGUAAAACUCCAACUUAGUAUUGCUUGUGAAGAAUAUCAGGAAAAACUAACAUAAUAAGUUUUUAAACCUAGAUAUUACUAAUACAAGCAAGAGGUAGAAUGUGGUGAGACCAUGUGGUGAACAAAAAACUGAAAAUGCGAUCGUAAAGGAGGCAAAAGUAUGAUGAAAGUAAUGACACAGUGAGGAUGAAUGAAGUGAAUGACCAGGGAUGCAGCAAGGACACUUAACGCCCAGGAGAGGCAGAGCGGUUGGGCACAGGAUCAGGCUGCUCCUCCGAAUGGACUGUGGGGUGGUCUGAGAAGAGGACAAGACCUAACGCUGCCAGAGCUUGUGCACGCUAGGACAAACAACGAUGCAAACAAACUUGACUGGCACUCGCCCUCUACCCAGGUAUGCCUACGAUCCCUCCAUUUUUGCCUUCCGGUCCCUCAGCACGGUCCCUCCUUGCAGUCCACUGACUCCGUCCGAAGACCGCCCAUGUGUGUGAGGGGAUAACACCAACAGACCCCCCACACACUUAUUGACCGUAUAGGAGACCCCCAGGCUAUAACUUGUCUCAGCUUUGAAGAUGAGACUGUGCUAAAUAAUGAGUAAUAAUGGCCGAUAGGAUAAUUUGACAAAGCCAAUGUUUGAAAGGUCAAUAUUGUACUCUCAGGUAAUCCCACUCUGUCAAGUCAUGCUCUUGCUCGGACAACUGCUCAACAAACACAAGCAUCUAAUACACCAAGAAUGGGGUGAUCUUAACCCUGAUAUUGAAUGAUGAUGUGAGACAUGCAGAUUGUAUGUACUGGGGAAUGAUAAGGCUGCAAUAGAAGUCUCUUUGAAAAUACACCGCUUCACUCAAGCUCUUAGUUCCAAGGACACUUCAGAUAUUUCAUACAUUAACAGCUGUCUUUUGGAUGUCUGUUCAGAAAAUGGACUUCACUAUCAAAUAUAUUUUCAAAGGACAACACAAGCAUUGGAAAGCGUUCAGACUACUCCGAUACAGUUCUCUUGUGAAUAUAAAAUGCAUCUUGAUGACAAUCAAGGGUCAAUCAAACUCAAGACAGGUUCAUUUUCUAGACUGGAAAAAGCUCAUUAGGACCACUCAUUAACAGAGGGGUUCUUGAUACAUUGCAAGCUGUACACUGCACAAUACAUGUAGAGUCGAUUUCUUUGUGUGUAUCAACCAGUUAGAGGGAAACUGGCCUGACAAUCUGUCCUAAUACACAUGAAUAGGUUGUGGUGACAGAGGGCAUCCCUGACACAUGCAGUCAUUUGAAAGUAAAGUAGAUGUCUGUCUGCAUUACUAUUUUGUGGAUGUUAUUUGAAUUGUCCAGGUAAUAAGCUACUACGGCAUGUAUGAUCGUAGUUUGCGUUAACCUUAAAACACUUAAAACAUUUUUUUUUGCUUCAACCUGUCUGAGUUUGAUUUUCACUGUAGAGGAAAACCAUUGUCCUCUUUUCCUGCAUGCAUUUCACUGUGCUGAGGUGUAGAAAAGAACAGUAUGUAAGCAUUUAAGGGAAGUAUAAGAAAUCUACUAGAAUGACAUGAGAUUUCUAACCCAUACCUUCUUUUCUUGUAUGAGACAACCAACAUUAUGCUUCUGAAUGACAUUCCUGAUGGAUUGAAUGUAAAACUGAAAGUAGUCAACUGUAGAGUCGUUAUGCUAGGGUAAUCAGAGGACAGAUAUGAAAAACCUUUUCUCAAGUGACAUGACAACCUAUUUAUGCAUAUGAAUGUAUACCGUGAUGGACAUGUUGAGCUCAAAACAGUGUUGUCACCGUAACCAAGCUCUUCUAAAGUGACUGCUGUGAUGUUUCUGUGUCCCUCGCAUUAUUUCUGAACAAAUAAACGCCCUGUGGCCUCUUGAUUCUUA